CCUACGGGUGGCAGCAGUAGGGAAUUUUCGGCAAUGGAGGGAACCCUGACCGAGCAACGCCGCGUGAACGAAGAAGUUAUUCGUAAUGUAAAGUUCUUUUAACAGGGGAGAAAGAGAAAUUUGACGUUACCUGCAGAAUAAGCUCCGGCUAACUACGUGCCAGCAGCCGCGGUAAUACGUAGGGAGCGAACGUUAUCCGGAAUCAUUGGGCGAAAGGGGUGCGUAGAUGGGAUAGUAAGUCUGUUGUAAAAAUGCUGGGCUAAACCCAGUAGGGCAAAAGAUACUGCAAAGCUAGAGUAUGACAGCGGCAAGUGGAACUAAAUGUGUAGCGGUAAAAUGCGUAAAUAUCUGUCAGAACACCAGUGGCGAAGGCGGCUUGCUGAGUCGAUACUGACAUUGAGGCACGAAAGCGUGGGGAGCAAACAGGAUUAGAUACCCGAGUAGUC
Molecule: ribosomal RNA, 446 nt
Filed under: uncultured bacterium
Lineage: Bacteria
Description: partial 16S ribosomal RNA
Rfam family: Bacterial small subunit ribosomal RNA
Source: RNAcentral